CAGCCGCCGCGUUAAUACCGGCGGCCCGAGUGGCGGCCACUAUUAUUGGGCUUAAAGCGUCCGUAGCCGGGUUGGUUAGUCUCCCGGGAAAUCUGGCCGCUUAACGGUCAGAAUUCCGGGAGAUACUGCCAGCCUAGGGACCGGGAGAGGCCGAGGGUAUUCCCGGAGUAGGGGUGAAAUCCUAUAAUCCCGGGAGGACCACCUGUGGCGAAGGCGCUCGGCUGGAACGGGUCCGACGGUGAGGGACGAAGGCCAGGGGAGCAAACCGGAGUAGAUACCCGGGUAGUCCUGGCUGUAAACGAUGCGGACUUUGUGUCGGACAAGCUAUGAGCUUGUCCGGUGCCGGAGGGAAACCGUUAAGUCCGCCGCCUGGGGAGUACGGCCGCAAGGCUGAAACUUAAAGGAAUUGGCGGG
This 414-nucleotide ribosomal RNA is filed under the name uncultured microorganism. Its description in RNAcentral is "bacterial SSU rRNA". It matches the Rfam family "Archaeal small subunit ribosomal RNA", at positions 459 to 872 of the family's 1478-position model. The record is from RNAcentral.